AAUGAAGUGCCUGAAAAAAAGGAGUAUCUUGAUAGGGUAAAUUAUGUGAAAUUACACCUUCAUUA
Molecule: transfer RNA, 65 nt
Filed under: Neohermes inexpectatus
Lineage: Eukaryota; Metazoa; Arthropoda; Insecta; Megaloptera; Corydalidae
Description: tRNA-Ile
Source: RNAcentral